This 344-nucleotide unclassified non-coding RNA is filed under the name uncultured fungus. RNAcentral describes it as "partial contains 5.8S ribosomal RNA and internal transcribed spacer 2". The stretch from base 1 to 133 matches the Rfam family "5.8S ribosomal RNA", at positions 22 to 154 of the family's 154-position model. The record is from RNAcentral. Lineage: Eukaryota; Fungi.
UGGUUCUGGCAUCGAUGAAGAACGCAGCGAAAUGCGAUAAGUAAUGUGAAUUGCAGAAUUCAACGAAUCAUCGAAUCUUUGAACGCAUAUUGCGCCCAUUAGUAUUCUAGUGGGCAUGCCUGUUCGAGCGUCAUUUCAACCCUCAAGUUUUGUUUUAUAGCUUGGUACUGGGGCGAUCUGUUGUAUCAAUAUACUACAGGCCCUGAAAGACAUUGGCGAGCUCACUGUAAACCCGAGCGUAGUAGAUUUUUUUUAUUCGCUUAGGGGUAUACAGUUGGUAUUUUAGCCAUUAAACAACUCCAUUUUAUCAAGUUGACCUCGGAUCAGGUAGGAAUACCCGCUGA